GCCUUGCUAGCUCAAUCGGUAGAGCGUGAGACUCUUACAAAGUCUAUCUCAAGGUUGCGGGUUCGACCCCCGCGUGGGGCU
Molecule: non-coding RNA, 81 nt
Organism: Mycena vitilis
Lineage: Eukaryota; Fungi; Basidiomycota; Agaricomycetes; Agaricales; Mycenaceae
Source: the annotation of a GenBank genome assembly